Molecule: ribosomal RNA, 253 nt
Filed under: uncultured bacterium
Lineage: Bacteria
Description: partial 16S ribosomal RNA
Rfam family: Bacterial small subunit ribosomal RNA
Source: RNAcentral
UACGGGGGGGGCAAGCGUUGUUCGGAAUUACUGGGCGUAAAGGGCUCGUAGGCGGCCAACUAAGUCGGACGUGAAAUCCCUCAGCUUAACUGGGGAACUGCGUCCGAUACUGGAUGGCUUGAGUUUGGGAGAGGGAUGCGGAAUUCCAGGUGUAGCGGUGAAAUGCGUAGAUAUCUGGAGGAACACCGGUGGCGAAGGCGGCAUCCUGGACCAACACUGACGCUGAGGAGCGAAAGCCAGGGGAGCAAACGGG